This 11453-nucleotide long non-coding RNA is filed under the name Panax ginseng (ginseng). Its description in RNAcentral is "long non-coding RNA (PGIN_LNC016691)". The record is from RNAcentral. Lineage: Eukaryota; Viridiplantae; Streptophyta; Magnoliopsida; Apiales; Araliaceae.
GAUUUUGAGACUUGAAAAUAAAUAAAAAACAGAAGCAUUUCGCGAUUUCUUUGGUUAAUAGCAGAACACCAGAGAAGCAGCAAGAUGAUGAUGUCUUUGGUUUCAAUUUCUCCUCCAUUCUAUGCACCUGUGAGCAUUAUAUCUCUCUUUCAAUCCAUUAUAUAUUUUUAUUUUCCAAUUCUUUCUAUUUAAUUUAAGAGUUAUUUCAACAGUGGAAAUCGAAAGCUAUUGUACUUGAAAAAUCUGUAUCACCUGUAAAGAGAGGAAGCUUUGGGGUUAAAGCAUUUUUCUUCAACCCUCCAGAUGAACCCAUUCUCAAAGAAGCUCUUAAGGUAAUUCCAUUUGCUACAUCCAUAUAUUUUUGUACUAUGUUUAUUCAGUAAUUUCUGUAUUUGGGUGCUGGAAAAAUAAAUUGACAGAAUACUUUUUAGGGAAUUUCUAUAGAAAAAUUGUAGCAUAUAGAGAAGAAACCCUAUCUGGGUUUGUUAAUUUAUUAUGUCUAUAAAGUAGAGCUAGCUAGCAUCUGGGUUCUGACCAAUUUAGCAAGGGGAGGAUUGAGAGUUGAUUGUGGUGUUAGUUAUCAGAGUACUUUUUUACUUUUCAAUUGUUGUAGUACAUGUUCUAAUGUUUUACUUGGAACGUGUGUUUUGUUUAGUUUGUUAUGCCUACCCGAACUAGUCUGGGAUAAAAGGCGUAGCUGAGUUGAUAUAUAUCUCGUUUUAAUACUAGUUAACAAUUACAAACAUAAAGCUAAGGGCGGAUUUGCAGUUACAGAAACAGUGGUUAAGCAUAUAUUGACAUCAUUCUGUCUGGGCUUCUUUCAAACAGACAUUUUACCACCUGUUUUUACAUAAGUAUGGGGAAAUGACCUUUCUUUUAUCAGCAUAUCAAUUGGUCUUGCAAGUGGAGCUAGCUCAGUCAACUGGACACUUUAUCCAAGUCCGUGUAACUAUGCUAGCAGUUUUGUAGGGCGCAAUUGGCUUUAAUCUGUACCAUUUAUUAUACACACUGAAACCGUCACUCAUACCCUUUACACGUUCCUAUAAUUGAUCCCAGGUCAUCUCCCAUUCCUAUCAAAAGCAAUUCCAUUUUUGUGGACAUAGAGAACCCAAGGUCAUAUUUGCUUAGCACACUCACCUCGUCCAAGAAUGAGGUCGCAUGUUAUUGUUGUAGGCUGAUAACCAAAGUAGCAGCUAGCCCAUUGUUGCUUCUAUUAAAAAGAAAAGAAAUUUCAAGAUAAAGAAUGACAAUGAAAGGUGAAGGGACCUAUCCACACAGAUUCCUAGAAACUCACCAAUAAUGAAAUAAAGCUCAAAGCGCUAGUAUCAAAGUAAUAAUAUAUUCAACUAUUAUUGUUAAUGAAGAUUACAUCAGUUUAUCCAAAUCCUUCAAUCAUUUCCUUCUUGAAGUUGCCUCCCUAAGUCUUCUGCCUAGAAACUUACGGAGGCCUUUUCAAGCUUCGAAUUUAAUCAUUGUUCUAUGAAUCAAAUCUCUUUUUCCUUUCGUUCCAUCUUCAUGCUCCGAUCCAAAGAUUAAUCAGAGAAGCUCCUCGGGAAAAGUGUCGUCAGAGAGCUAGGGUGGCCGAACCCUUGGGGGGCGAACCCUAGGUUCAUACCUCCUUCGAUUUCUUGCCCUUUCGUCACGAUUCUCGGCCCUUUGAGUAGUUUUUCAUAUAAUGAAGGACUUGAGGGAGAUCAUCCCUAAGUCUCCAUGUAUUUUUCACCUCUUUUCUUGGCUUUAAUCAUCUUGAGUUGUCGUUUUGCUAAUCCAAAGUUCUCAUCAAGAAGGGAUCAUUCAUCGACAUCAUUUGGAGAGGUUGAACCCCAGGGGGUGAACCCUAGGGCGGACGGACCCGAGGAGGGAAAUCCCUAGGUAGCCAUUCUUUCUUGCCCGGUUUCGUUGAUCUAGUUUUCGUUUCGUUUGAUAACUCAAAUCAAAUCAAGAAGGCAUCAUCAAUUGAACCAAGUUAAGGAGGUGCACCCCUAGGGGACCAAACCCUAGGGAGGCCGAACCCUAAGGGGGCACUUCAUGAUCGGAUUAUCUUCUUUUGCUUAGUUUCUUCAUUUCACCUUGUUAGAAGAUAUGAUAUAGAUUUACCAUAAUUGUAGCUUCCAUAAUCAGUGUGUACACAUUACUGUAAUUUAGGAAUUACCAUAAAUAUAAUUAGGAUACUUGUGUAUAUAUCAAUCUAUUCUCAGUUUUAUCAUGGUAUCAAAGUUAUGUUGACACAGUAGUGCACAGAACUUACCUUUUUCUUCAUAAAUCUAGCAAAACCAGUUGGUAUUGAGAAAUUGAAACCAUAUUAAGGCCCUACACUGCCAGGUGACCACCACGGGAAAAAAUUUUCAGGCACCCACUCACCCACGUGCCGCUAGGAGUGAGCAAAAAACGGAUAAAACCGAAUUACCGAACCGAACCGAAUUAUUUCGCUUUUUCGAAAUUUCUGUUAUAUCCGAUUUAAUUCUCGUUAUUCGGUUUCGGUUUUAAAAAACAGGUUAUUCGGAUACUCGAAUAACUGAACUUUAAUAUUUAAAAAAUAACAAUUUUAUAAUUGUGACUCAUCACACUCAGAGUACUCUAUAGUUUACUCUCUCGUACUCAUCAUCUCCCACUAGUGGAUGACAAAUCUCUCAUUAUGAUAUCAAAUUCAUAUCUUAAAUCUCUCUCUACUCUCUAUUCACAAAAUCUCUUCGUCAAAAGUUACAAAAUCUCUUCAUCAGAUCUCUAUUCACAAAAUCUCUUUGUCAAAAGUUAUAAAAUCUCUUCAUCAGAUGGCUUCAACCGAGGGUUUAGUGCCUAUCACGAGCACCACGUCCACCAAACUUCUUCGGCUCGCACCUCCUCGGAUCGGCGACAUGCAGAGUCCGGUCAUACCUAACAAGGAUGUCCUUGAUCUCCUUCUUCUGUUGCUCAUACUUCUGGUAAGAUGCCGGAUGGCAUAGAUCUGAGAGGUGUGACCUCCACCCUUGACGGGGAUCCUCAUGUCGACGCCGGCGAAACGGUGGCGACCGAGGAGGAUCGACUCAAAGGCUUUGUAGCGGAGGAUUUUCGGCUGGACGAGCUCAAUCAAUACACUGUUGAUCUUGAUCAAUCCACGACCACGCUUGCAGUGAGUCACGGCAACGACGAUCUUCUUACGGCCAAAGCAUUGGACAGAAUCGGUUAGGGAUGUAGCCAUGGUUGGGUUUGCUCCAGUGAAAUCUUCAGAACCCUAAACCUAAAGAAUGCUUCGGAGGCGAUUGAUAGUGUGAUAUUGUGGAGGUUUCGUCAGAUGGCUUCUUAUUACGACAAAUAUCCAUUUUCUCCUCUCCGAUGAUGUCUCUCGUCUUUCGAAUAAGCUUCACUCCAUAGCCUGUGAUUUUCACAACGAUUCCCCUCUUUAUAAAGGUUUGCUUUUUAGAUUGAUUUGAUCUCUGUAACUACGUAAUCUCUGAAGUUUUAAUAAAGGUUUAUGAAGGUUUACUUUUUAGAUUGAUUUGAGCUUCACUCCAUAUUCCCCUCAUUAUGCAGCUCUAUAAAAGAAACACAAUCUAGAACAUUUCGGUUAUUAACCGAAUAACCGAAUAAUAAAUUCAGUUAUCUCCUAAUUCGGUUAAUAGUUCGGAUAUCAAAAUUGAGUUAAUUUCGGUUUUCGGUUAUAACCGAAUAAGCUAUUCGGUUCGGUUAUAACCGAAUACUCAGUCCUACGUGCCGCCACGAGCCACCUCACGCGCCUGUCGCCAACGCCACGCAUCUCCUUCUGCCAGCACGUGAGCCUUUUUUCGGCGAGAUUUUUCGACACAAUUUUUUCCAGGGUGCUCGAUUCUGUCCUCUCUUGCCAUCUACAGUGGUCUUGGGAACAUUGAUUCAGGUUUCUUCAACUUUACGUGUCUUCUUCCCAUCUGGAUUUUUUUUUUGUGAAUUGAGUUGGUUUUUUGUUUGAAAAAAAUUGUUCUGUUCUUGGUAAUUCAUUGCUAUUAGGGUUUGAGCCUUUAAACAUCUCUGUUGCUAUUUCCGGGGAUACUUUUGUUGCUCUUUUUCCCUUAUCAUGGUAGAAUCAAGUUUCAUUAAGAGUGGUGGUACUACCGAAAUAAAUAAAGGGCAGUGGUUAGAAAUCAUCAUCUUAACUCUACCUUGGUUCUUAGUCCAUUUAAGUUAGAUGGAAACAAUUAUCUAGCUUGGUCUCAAGCGUGCCAUAUGUCAAUCGAAGCUAACCGGAUGCAACAUUUCAUCAAUGGUACAACAACCAUGCCUACACUAGCAGGUGUGGCCCAGGAAGAAUGGAAAUCUGAUAACUCCAUGGUGAAAACGUGGAUUUUUAACUCAGUGGAACCUAGUAUGCGGAAUAGUUACAUGUUCUUAGACACUACAUAUGAACUUUGGGAGGCUAUCUCUCAAACCUUCUCUGUUUCUGGUGGUAUGUCUAAGGCGAUAUCCGUAAACGAAUCCGUGAGUUGGGUCAAGGGGAGAAGUCUAUGACACAGUAUUUUGCAUAAAUUAAUGCACUUUGGCAGGAGCUUGAUCAUUAUCGGGUUUUUUCUGCCAAAUGUCUAGAAGAUGUUGUUUAUCAAAAGUUUGUGAGUGAAGAUAGAGUCGUGGAUUUCUUGGCUGGUUUGAAUAUAGAAUUUGAUCAAGUUCGUGCAUAGUUGAUUGAUCAGACACCUUUUCCAUCACUGUGUGAGGCUCAUGCUCGAGUCCAACAAGAGGAAAGUAGGCGUUGGGUGAUGGUUCUAAAUCUUGUUGACCGAUGAGUCAUGGUUGCUUCGUAUCCUAAGUUUGGCUCCACUAUUCAGUCUCUUGCUGAGAAGGAAUCCCGUGAGUGUGAUUACUGUGGGGGAAAGAACCAUAUCAGGGAUCGUUGUUUCAAGCUUCAUGGACAUACUAAAGGGAGAGGGGGUCGGUCGUGAACGUGGAUCUCAAGCCUAUGUGACUACAACACCUCCUGUUGAUACAUCCAGUGCUUCUGACACUACUACUACACUCGUUCCUGAGGAAAUCUCAGUUUUUCGAAAAUUCUAUUCCACAUCUACUUCUUCUCAUUAUGCCCAGUCAGGUAUACAGUCUUGUGUUUUUAAUGUUUUAUCAACUUGCUCUAGUUGGAUCAUUGACACAGGUGCCUCCGAGCAUAUGACCGGGUCCUCCACCCUCUUUACUUCAUAUACGCCUUGUUCUGGAAAAGACAAGGUUCGAGUAACUGAUGAUUCCCUUUCUUCGAUCUCUGGGAGUGGUUCUGUAGUUUGUACUCCCUCAUUGAUAUUAUCAUCUGUUCUUCAUAUUCCUUCAUUUACUGCAAAUUUAUUAUCUGUUCAACGUGUUUCUGAAUCCUUAUACUGUUCAGUAAAUUUUUUCCCAACUCAUUGUAUUUUUCAGGACUUGGUGAUGGGGCAGAAGAUUGGCAGUGGUAGUGCAAUUGGUGGUCUUUAUUAUUUGGAUGUUCCCCCCUCUAACGUGUUCUCUACUCAGGCUCUUCACUCUACUUUUGACACUAGCCUGACUUCUCUCCAUCAAUGACAUCGACGCUCGAGACAUCCCUCCUUUUCUAUAUUAGUCUUUAUUUUCCUCUUUAGUUAAACAAUGUAAUAAAACUCAGUUUUUGUGUGAACCAUGUUAAUUGGAGAAACACAAACGUUCUAUUUAUUCUACUAUUAACAGUCGACAUUCUGAAUCUUUUGCUAUUAUACAUACUGAUGUGUGGGGACCCUCUCGGGUUUUUUCCCGUUCUGGUUAUAGAUGGUUUGUUAGCUUUAUUGAUUGUCAUUCUCGUGUCACUUGGAUUUAUCUUCUUCGUUCCAAAAAUGAUGUGUUUGGUUUUUUUCAGGAAUUUCAUAAAAGAAUUCAAACCCAAUUUGAAGCUAAAGUCAAAAUUCUCCAUAGUGAUAAUGGUCGUGAAUAUAGUAAUAAUCAUGCUUUUGUAUUUUAUCUUUCUCAGCAUGGCAUCAUUCUUCAAACCUCUUGUGUCAAAACUCUAGAACAAAAUAAAGUCGCGGAAAAGAAAAAUCGACACUUACUAGAGGUUGCCCGCACUCUUAUGUUCACCAUAAACAUCCCUAAAUUUCUAUGGGGAGAUGCAGUUUUGACUGCUGCAUUUCUUAUAAACCGCCUUCCUUCUCGAGUUCUUGGAAAUAAAAGUCCUAUCUCUUUUCUCUAACACACGACCAGUCCUCCUUCGCCUCGAGUUUUUGGUUGUGUGUGCUAUGUUCAUGAUAAAUUUCUCGGAGAAAAUUAGAUCCCAAGGCUCUUAGGUGUGUUUUCAUUGGUUAUUCUCCAACCCAAAAAGGUUAUAAUUGUUAUCGUUCUCCUUCUAACAAAGUAUUUGUCACUCGGGAUGUAACUUUUUGAGAAUUGGAAUCUUUUUAUUCUUCUUCACUUUCUCCUCAGAAGGAGGAUGUGAUUGAUGAAGAGAAUCUUCCUCCUGAGGCUAGUAUUACAAGUUCCACUAUACCAUCUUCUUAUGUUCCUGUUGUUGUUUCUAAUAUUUUUACACAGGGGGAGUUACAGUUACAAAAGCCAUGUGCUAGACAGAAUGAGCCUGAGCUUGAGUUGAGGACCUAUGUUCGAAGAGGCAAGAAUAAGGUCACCAUUUCUGCACCACUACACCAAUCUUGCUCCGAACCUAAUCUUGAUAAUGCUAAUGGUGAGAAUCAUACUCCUACUUGUUCUUCCGAUGAUACUGACAUUCCUAUUGCUCUUAGAAAAGGGGUUAGAUCUUGUACUCAACAUCCUAUCUCUAAUUUCGUAGCCUAUACUAAAUUAUCUGCAUCCUUCCACUCUUUUGUUUCUUCCUUGUCUUCAAUAUCUGUUCCUCAGGGGUGGAGAGAAGUGAUUAGUCAUGAGAAUUAGAAACAGUCUAUGAUUAAGGAGAUGAAUCCUCUAAAGAAGAAUGAUACAUGGGAACUAGUUACUCUUCCUUAUGGAAAAAAGUCAGUUGGUUGUAAAUGGGUAUAUACAGUCAAACAGAAGUCAGAUGGGACAGUUGAGAAACUUAAAUCCAGGCUAGUUGCAAAAAAGUAUACUCAAACCCAUGGAAUUGAUUAACAGGAGACAUUUGCUCCUGUGACGAAGAUGAACUCUGUUUGUACCAUAAUCUCAUGUGCAGCAAAUUUCAGCCGGGAUAUUCAAUAAUUAGAUGCGGAAAAUGCAUUUCUUCAUGGUGACUUGGAGGAGGAAGUAUACAUGGAAAUACCAUCUGGUUUUGCUUCAUCUGUCACCAAGGGUAAAGUUUGUAAACUGCAAAAGGCUUUAUAUGGCUUGAAAAAAUCUCCUAGAGCCUGGUUUGGUAGAUUCCACAAAGCAAUGAUAAGAUUUGGGUACAAGCAGAGUCUAGCAGAUCAUACUCUAUUUGUCAAACAGAUAAAAAGUAAGACUAUCAUUCUUAUUGUUUAUGUUGAUGACAUUGUGGUGACGGGGGAUAAUAGAGAAGAGAUAGUUAAUCUCAAACAUGUCUGGCCAAAGAGUUUGAGAUCAAAGUUCUUGGGUGAAGUUGCAAGAUCUCCUAGUGGAAUUUUUCUAUCUCAAAGGAAGUAUGUUUUUGAUCUUUUAACAAAAACUGGCAUGUUGGGAUAUAAGCCUGCUGAUUCUCCUAUUGCAGUUAAUCAUCAUCUAAUAGGUGGCACAUGACCUACAGUUGAUAGAGAAAGAUAUCAACGUUUGGUGGGACGAUUGAUAUAUCUUUCUCAUACUAGACCUGAUAUAUCUUAUGUUGUGGGAAUAGUAAGUCAAUAUAUACAUGAUCCUAGACAUUGUCACAUGAAAAUUGUUUAUAGAAUUCUGAGAUAUCUCAAGUCUGCUCCUGGAAAAGGUUUAUUGUUCGCACCACAUGGUCAUAUGAGAGUUGAAGCUUUUUUCGAUUCAGAUUGGGCUGGCUCUAUAGAGAAUCGCCGUUCUACAUCAGGUUACUGUUCAUUUGUUUGAGGUAAUUUUGUUACUUGGCGAAGUAAGAAACAGUCCGUGGUAGCAAGAUCUAGUACUGAAGCUGAAUAUCGAGCUAUUGCCUUGGGUAUAUGUGAACUAAUGUGGCUUCGAACCUUGCUAGAAGAUUUGGGUGUUACAACUAAAAGGCCUAUAUAGUUAUUUUGUGAUAAUAAGGCAGCCAUUAGUAUUGCAAACGACCCAGUACAACAUGAUAGAACGAAGUACAUUGAGAUUGACAGACACUUUAUCAAAGAAAAGUUAACUAGUGGUCUUAUUUGCUUACCUUUUGUCAAAACAAAAAAUUAGUUUGCUGAUAUUUUGACUAAGGGUCUUAGAUGUUUCAUCCACUAUGUUUCAAGUUGGGUAUGCAAGACAUCUAUACACCAACUUGAGGGGGAGUGUUAGAAGAUAUGAUAUGUUGGAAGAUAUGAUAUAGAUUUACCAUAAUUAUAACUUCCAUAAUCAGUGUUUACACAUUACUAUAAUUUAGGAAUUACCAUAACUAUAAUUAGGAUAUUUGUGUAUAUAUAUCAAUGUAUGUAAUAGAAAGAGAUAACUUCAAUGAAAUAAAACUAUUCUCAGUUUUAUCACACCUUUGUUUCGCUUGGUAAUUCGGAUCAAGUCAAGAAAAUAUCUUUGAUUAGACUGAAUCAGGAGAUUGAACCCUAGGUGGCGAACCUAAGGGGUCUUCUAACAAUUUGUUAUCUUUUCAUCGAUCUUGUCCAAACUUUGCUCGAAAAUCUUUCAAUAAACAAAUCAGAUCAAGAAAGCAUCAUUGGUUGGCCAGAUAAAAAAUUGAACCCCUAGGGGGGCGAACCCUAUGGGAUCCUCUCACACUAGUCCGUUUUCUUCGACUUUUGCGUUCCAAAUUGUCUUGUUCGGGCAAUUUAAUUCAAUUGGGUCAUUAGAGUGCACUCAUUGAACACGCCUCUUUUUGUUAUACGCGCCCCUCUUUCAUAUUUAAGGGCUCACAGUUACUAACUACACUUUAUCUUCGAAGAAUAAUGUAAAAUGUUGGAAUAAUAAUUAAUCUCUUGGUUUGAUCCUCAUCAAUUCCUCUAACCAAUAAUUCAUUUUCUAAUGGAUCUCUAGCUUUAGUACCAAAUCCAAUGGGCGAUGGUUGCAGAAUGUCAAUGAAGAUACACUUCUUCUUGUUUCACUGGAAAGUAUUGUCUAAAUGGAAAUUGAUAAUUGUGGGAAAUAUUAAAUAUGGCUUUUUCUAUCAACAUUGAACUAGAAAUCCAAAUUCUUGAUUUUGUUUAUAAUAAAGAUGCAGUAAACUGGUUAGGGUUCAUAAGAGGUUAAAUUGAUCAUGGACAGCCCUCCCUGGAUUGCUGAGCAUGCGUUCUGCAGAACAGAUACAAAUGCAAAACUUUUGGAAAAGGUAAAAAUAUGAGAUGACCUCUUCAUGUCAAGGUCUUGUCAAAUUCAGAUGAGGAUACACAUUAAACAAAGCUACAAUCUGAACAAUAAAAACAACCUAUCUGCGAAAAUCUUAGAAGUUAGUGCCAACAGAUAUAAAAAAAUUUAAAUGACACCUGUUAAAUAAACUAUUCACUCUUUUUUCUUUUUUUUAAAAUUCCAAAUAUGUGUUCACAUUAUUGAUGAGGUUAACGACCAGCUCAUUAUUCAAUAGUCAUAUGCAGUUUGCUGUCUUAUUUCUACAUGUACUCACCCCCGGGGGGUUAACCCCCCNNNNNNNNNNNNNNNNNNNNNNNNNNNNNNNNNNNNNNNNNNNNNNNNNNNNNNNNNNNNNNNNNNNNNNNNNNNNNNNNNNNNNNNNNNNNNNNNNNNNAUCCCUCUACGUUUAUGUUUACGGUUAGCUGCUUUUAAUAUCCUUCACAGCUUUACAUCAAGGUUAUCCUGUCAUACAAAAUUUCAUUUUCCUUGUCGAUUUGGGGAUUGAAAUCAAAUUUGUAGUUUAUGUUAAAAUCUUGUUAUAGUUAGGAAGAGGAAAUUUUAACGUCAGACUGAAUGUCGUUGGGAUAUUAACUUCUUUUUCAACCUACGUUAUUUUAAAUUUUUUUCAGGUUGGCUUGCCACCACUUAAAGUUUUUUACCUCAUAUGAAAGGUUUAAUUUUAUUUAUUAUUAUUAUUAUCUGACUAAAGAGUAUUUGAACUUUGAUAUUUUGUUGGCCCCAACUUAUAGACAUGGUUUCCUUUUGAUAUUAGUAUGUUUUUACUGAUGCCUAAACAAUUUCAGUUUCAUUUGCAGUGUUAGCUGAUUAAGAUUCAAACCGUUGUUCUACUUGAAUUGCUUUUCUCACCUACUAUUAGUAGAGGAUAGAGGUACUUGAGGCCUAUGAUCAUAUAGUCACAAACCUUUAUAAUCAAUAGAUUCCACUUCACAAAUUUUUGCAUUUUUGGAGCCUUAUUAAGGUUUUGUGAUCCUACUGGCACAAGUGAAGCUGACCUACAUGAAUUAUCUGAUGCUAAGUUGUUUCCUGUUCGUUCCAUACGUUUUAUUCAUUAACGAGUUAUUAGCUAUUUUGGAGAAAAUGAACAUCUCACGGAUCCAUUCUUAUAAAUUAAAAUUUGAAACAUUUUAAGAAUCAUAUUAGUGUCCAAAUAUAUAUAUAUAUAUAUAUAUANNNNNNNNNNNNNNNNNNNNNNNNNNNNNNNNNNNNNNNNNNNNNNNNNNNNNNNNNNNNNNNNNNNNNNNNNNNNNNNNNNNNNNNNNNNNNNNNNNNNUUGAAGCAUCUGGACUUACGAAGGAAGAUAUUGACGCUGAAGCUGCUGUAGAACAAGAAGUUCCACAACAGAUAGAGAUAGAAUGAUUUGCUUCAUUUGCCUGUUUUAGUACACCAUUCAUAAGUUAUUUACAUGUGGAAGGGAAUGUAUUUGAACAUGUUUGUUACAUGCGCGUAAGAUAUAUAUGCAAUGCCCAGCACCAUUUACCUUGGUGCUCCAGUUUUUCUAUAUAUAUGCAUGAUUCUAAGUUGGUGUUUGGCAAGUACUUGUUUCUCCUUGUUACCGUAUGCUCUUUGGGUUAUCAUUUUCAAUCUAACAUUUUCAAAAUUUUCUCCAUGAGGCAGCCAACGAUGACAAUGCUUGUAGCAAAUUUCGGGUAUUUAUGAGUCAUUUGUUGCGAGUUCCACCUUUGCUUUUGCUCCAAACAUUGUCAGCAUUGGAGCUAGAUACCAUCUUUCAGGGCAAGACAGUUUGAAAAGGAAAUAUUUCCUCCAGUUGGCAGCAAAGGCGAAUCCACAUUUGGGCCAAAGGGACUUGUCCCUGUUGGCUUUUGAAAAAGAAAACCGAGUGCUUGAAGCAUUCUAAGUUAUACACCUUGGGGGUUCUACAAUUGAAAAUAUUGUCCAACUUUACGUUUCUCAUCUACCAAGUUUGGGUGGCAGACUGAGCUUAUAUUGGCAGGGCGAGGGCGGGGGGUGUUCUGGAAAGGGCGUGCCGAACCAAACUAGCCACAUUCUUCGGGGAACUGCUGUCUCAUAAAUACCAACAGUGUACUACAUUUAUUUACUUCGCCAUUUUCUGUGGUCUGAGGAAACAGUCUAUUUGUGUAUCUGGGAGGACUUGUUCAAACUAUGUCGACCAAAGCAUCCAG